UACAGAGGCCUCAAGCGUUGUUCGGAAUCACUGGGCGUAAAGGGCGCGUAGGCGGCCCGCUAAGUCGAACGUGAAAUCCCCAGGCUCAACCUGGGAACUGCGUCCGAUACUGGCAGGCUUGAAUCCGGGAGAGGGAUGUGGAAUUCCAGGUGUAGCGGUGAAAUGCGUAGAUAUCUGGAGGAACACCGGUGGCGAAGGCGGCAUCCUGGACCGGUAUUGACGCUGAGGCGCGAAAGCUAGGGGAGCAAACGGG
RNAcentral lists this ribosomal RNA (253 nucleotides) under uncultured bacterium. Its description in RNAcentral is "partial 16S ribosomal RNA". It matches the Rfam family "Bacterial small subunit ribosomal RNA", at positions 524 to 776 of the family's 1533-position model. The record is from RNAcentral.